Non-coding RNA from Camellia sinensis, 1687 nucleotides. Lineage: Eukaryota; Viridiplantae; Streptophyta; Magnoliopsida; Ericales; Theaceae. The record is from RefSeq and is a predicted model, not a curated record.
GUGUUUGUUGUUUGCAUAUGUGCAAGAUUUCAAUCUUGUCCAAAAGAGUUUCAUCUCACUGUCGUUAAAUGUAUUUUUCAAUAUCUAACCGACAAUCCUAUUUUGGGUUUGGAUUUAUUUUAUCCUAGAGGUGUAUUAUUUGAUUUGAUUGGUUACUCGGAUGCCGACUUUGCCGGAUGCAAACUUGAUAGAAAAACUACUAGCACUUGUCACGUUUUGAUAACUUAUUAGUAACUUGGUUUAGGGAAAAGUAAAAUUCUGUUGCUCUAUCAACGGUCGAAGCUGAAUACAUAGCUUCCGGAAGUUGUUGUGCCCAAGUUCUAUGGAUAAAACAACAAUUAGAUGAUUUUGACUUACAUUAUGAUUAUAUCCCUAUUAAAUGUGAUAAUACUAGUACUAUCAACUUAAACAAAAAUUCGGUUCAACACUCUGAAACAAAACAUAUUGAAAUUUGACACCAAUUUUUAAAAGAUCAUGUUCAAAAAGGGGAUAUUGCUAUUAAAUUUGUAAACACUGACAAGCAAUUGACAGAUAUUUUCAUAAAAUCCCUAAGUAAGACAUGCUUUAAUUUUAUUCGUGGUGAAUUUGGAACGUCGAAUUCUACAUAUUGAUUUUGUUGAGAUUGCAAAAUUGAAGUUUUACUCAAAUUGAGGAAUGAAUACUAUUGCAUUAAUUUGGAAUCAUAAAUAUCAGUUGAAUGCUUUCAAAAUACUCAUACAUUUUUACUCAAGUAUUGUUUGUUGCAUUUUUAACACAUAAAAAUUUCCAGAUUUUUAUCUAUGUCCUUAAAACUCAUCCAGCUACCUAAUUUUCUUUCAAAACUUGUUUCCUACACUAGCAGAUUCAUUUCCUUCACUUACCAUACAUAUUGAGUUACAUAUACCUACCAUACUUGUUAUGCCCUUAAAUCCUCUGGCUGAAUUAUUGGGCCUGUCAUAUACAUUUAUACGUUGUGUACGUCACAUAAAUUAGCCCUAGCCACUUUUAAGCAAUCAGCACAGGAGCUCCGCAACACAGGAGAUUUUUUACCGAGCCAGUUGUCCGGGAGGACAACUUGGCGGUCGACCGGUGGCCACCUGGGCAGAUUUUAAAAGCCCCAAAACCGACUGCUUCUAUUCCUGUUCUUUUCUCUGCUUCGUCUAUGUAAACCCUAAUCUCCAUAUCGCUCAAACUCCAUCUGCCAAACCCUCUAAAAACUCAAUCUCUAUCAAUUUCUUGUGUAAACUAAGUAAAAUCAGAUCGUGGCUCCUAGAACCAAAAAGCCUAGAGCUAGAGAGGCCGGACAGUCAUCAAAUCCCGGGCUAGGUUCUCUUUUGUUGCUAGCCAAGGCCUUUGGUGAUGGAGAGAGAAGGUGGAUGGUCCAAUGCUGAGCUAGCACCCAAUUGUCCAAGGUGUGCCUGCUCAAAUUCAAAGUUCUGUGCAUGAGGCUUUGUGCGACCAGAUUGAAGAGGUGAAGGCAGCAAUGGGGAGAAUUGGAGAAACAGUUUGAUCUUGUUGUGCCAAACAUGAACAAGUGGGAGGUGCAUUCUAGAGGAUGAGGUGCAUUCUCUUUUACUGUGAUUGUCUAAAUGAUUUGUAGUUUGUUUCUUAUGUAGAGGAGUUGGGACACCAUUCUUAGGUUGUGUAUGUACUGGAUGUAGUCAUGUAAUGACAUGGCAGUAGUUACUCUCAAAUUUCUGUAUGGGAU